RNAcentral lists this ribosomal RNA (497 nucleotides) under uncultured bacterium. RNAcentral describes it as "partial 16S ribosomal RNA". It matches the Rfam family "Bacterial small subunit ribosomal RNA", at positions 28 to 507 of the family's 1533-position model. The record is from RNAcentral.
GAUGAACGCUGGCGGCGUGCCUAAUACAUGCAAGUCGAGCGAACAGACGAGGAGCUUGCUCCUCUGACGUUAGCGGCGGACGGGUGAGUAACACGUGGAUAACCUACCUAUAAGACUGGGAUAACUUCGGGAAACCGGAGCUAAUACCGGAUAAUAUAUUGAACCGCAUGGUUCAAUAGUGAAAGACGGUUUUGCUGUCACUUAUAGAUGGAUCCGCGCCGCAUUAGCUAGUUGGUAAGGUAACGGCUUACCAAGGCAACGAUGCGUAGCCGACCUGAGAGGGUGAUCGGCCCCCCCUGAACCGAGACCCGGUCCAGACUCCUUAGGGAGGCAGCCGUAGGGAAUCUUUCGCAAUUGGCGGAAGCCCGACGGAGGCACGGCGCGUGAGUUAUGAAGGUCCUCGGAUCCUAAAACUUUGUUAUUAGGGAAGAACCAAUUGGUAAGUAACUAUGCACGUCUUGACGGUACCUAAUCAGAAAGCCACGGCUAACUACGUG